AAAGUACGAAGUAAAAUUUACUUUUAGUUUCGACCUAAACAUAGGGACAUAAUAGCCCCUUACUUUU
RNAcentral lists this transfer RNA (67 nucleotides) under Neoplerochila sp. Its description in RNAcentral is "tRNA-Arg". Lineage: Eukaryota; Metazoa; Arthropoda; Insecta; Hemiptera; Tingidae. The record is from RNAcentral.